Molecule: long non-coding RNA, 1279 nt
Filed under: Numida meleagris (helmeted guineafowl)
Lineage: Eukaryota; Metazoa; Chordata; Aves; Galliformes; Numididae
Description: lncRNA (ENSNMEG00000014935.1)
Source: RNAcentral
UUCAAACCUUCUCCUAGAGGGGAAGGAAAAUAAAAUCUUCAUCUUACCUUUCUUUCUGCCUAGCUGCAUUCCGAGCUGAAGAAGCUACACAAGAAUGUGAAACAGUUUUAUUCCUUUGUGGAUGCACAGUUCAGCUUGUGAUCAAAGAGUAAAUGAUCCUUCCAGGAAUUAUACUAACUCUGCCUUUCUCUCAUUUACAGGUCUGCCGCUGCAGAUUUUCUUCACUGUUAGGAAUAAGCAGUUCCUGAGACACAAGUGCCUGAGAGAAAGGUCUGCAACAAUUGCUGCAGUGCUGCCAUCCAAAGCCCCUUGUGCAUGCCUCAGCAUCCAGAGAUCUUAGACCCAGCCUGCAACAAGGUGCUGCGGGAGCAUGAGGAAACCCAAAGACCUCCCUAAACAGGCAAACCUAGAAAUACUUCAGGCACCUUCUAGCAGAGAGUUGCUUCUGCAUUGACCUGAACACUGAAUGCUCAAGUAUCACUGGGAACCCCUUCGCCUCCCCAUGAAGAGAAAACUUGCUGGUGGAGCUGACAUGUGACAAGAUCUGUGAUUGCUGGCUGCCUAAUUGAAGUUUUGGUACCUCAUUCUUCUGGCUACAGACUCCUGUGCACCCACUUGGUACUUGCACCUCUCAUGAGAGUCAGCAUGGGAAGGAGCCUGCAGUAGGACAGGGGGCUGAAGUUGAGAGAUCCUAAGCUUUAGGUCUAUGACCUAGUUGAAAAAGCAAUCUCUCCCAGAGCCCAUAUUUAUCCAAAGAAUAUUUUCUUAAGCAUGUAGCAGUUCUACCUCCUGCCAGUGCCAAGUCUGAAAUACCUACAUGUGGAGGGGAAAAAAAUAAUGAGAUUAAUAUACAUUAGGCGCAGAUAUGGAAUACAAAAAUCAGAUAUUGUGAACUGGAAUUGAGUUUGGUUUCAAGUGAUUUUGUCCACCUGCCUACAGUUGUCUCAAAUAUGACCAUAAUACCGGGCACAGUUUUGCUUUUACAAGGUCACUGCAUAAAUGUUUAUGUGCUGUGAGUUAAAUCAUGCACUUAAAGAGGGAAGAGGAUGAAAUGGAAAACUUACUAACCCUAAUGAUGGAUGGAUUGCUCAUUACUCGCACUAACAGACAGCCAGCCCAGGCAGGAAGUUUCCAUCCAGUAAAUGUAUCUCUCUGAAAAUGUGCCAGGUAGAGGUAAAGAAAAAUGUUAGUUUAGCCAUUUUGAAAUACUUUUUGAAGGGCUCUGGACUCCUUCUGCAGAAGGAAUAAAGAAUAAACUGUGAUACUAAUAAAUUCUGAA